AAGCCCCGGCGCCCUCUAUUGGCGCGUCUCCGGACUUGCAUUCCGAUGUGUGCUCACCUCGGGG
RNAcentral lists this transfer RNA (64 nucleotides) under Pachydactylus robertsi. Its description in RNAcentral is "tRNA-Cys". The record is from RNAcentral. Lineage: Eukaryota; Metazoa; Chordata; Lepidosauria; Squamata; Gekkonidae.